Molecule: ribosomal RNA, 377 nt
Filed under: uncultured bacterium
Lineage: Bacteria
Description: bacterial SSU rRNA
Rfam family: Bacterial small subunit ribosomal RNA
Source: RNAcentral
AAACGUAGGGGGCAAGCGUUGUCCGGAAUUACUGGGCGUAAAGGGCGUGUAGGCGGUCACUUAAGUCAGGGGUGAAAACUGUGGGCUCAACCCACAGCCUGCCUUUGAAACUGGGUGGCUUGAGGACAGGAGAGGGGAGUGGAAUUCCCAGUGUAGCGGUGAAAUGCGUAGAUAUUGGGAGGAACACCAGUGGCGAAGGCGGCUCUCUGGCCUGUUUCUGACGCUGAGACGCGAAAGCGUGGGUAGCGAACGGGAUUAGAUACCCCGGUAGUCCACGCCGUAAACGAUGGGUGCUAGGUGUAGGAGGUAUCGACCCCUUCUGUGCCGUAGUUAACACAAUAAGCACCCCGCCUGGGGACUACGGCCGCAAGGCUAAA